RNAcentral lists this ribosomal RNA (394 nucleotides) under uncultured bacterium. RNAcentral describes it as "bacterial SSU rRNA". It matches the Rfam family "Bacterial small subunit ribosomal RNA", at positions 29 to 428 of the family's 1533-position model. The record is from RNAcentral.
AUUGAACGCUGGCGGCAUGCCUUACACAUGCAAGUCGAACGGCAGCACGGGAGCAAUCCUGGUGGCGAGUGGCGAACGGGUGAGUAAUACAUCGGAACGUGCCCAGUAGUGGGGGAUAGCCCGGCGAAAGCCGGAUUAAUACCGCAUACGACCUGGGGGUGAAAGCGGGGGAUCGCAAGACCUCGCGCUAUUGGAGCGGCCGAUGUCAGAUUAGCUAGUUGGNGGGGUAAAGGCCUACCAAGGCUACGAUCUGUAGUUGGUCUGAGAGGACGACCAGCCACACUGGGACUGAGACACGGCCCAGACUCCUACGGGAGGCAGCAGUGGGGAAUUUUGGACAAUGGGGCAACCCUGAUCCAGCAAUGCCGCGUGCAGGAAGAAGGCCUGGUUGUAA